UACGAAGGGGGCUAGCGUUGCUCGGAAUCACUGGGCGUAAAGCGCACGUAGGCGGCUUCUCAAGUCAGGGGUGAAAUCCUGGAGCUCAAUUCCAGAACUGCCUUUGAUACUGAGGGGCUCGAGUCCGGGAGAGGUGAGUGGAACUGCGAGUGUAGAGGUGAAAUUCGUAGAUAUUCGCAAGAACACCAGUGGCGAAGGCGGCUCACUGGCCCGGUACUGACGCUGAGGUGCGAAAGCGUGGGGAGCAAACAGG
This 253-nucleotide ribosomal RNA is filed under the name uncultured bacterium. Its description in RNAcentral is "partial 16S ribosomal RNA". It matches the Rfam family "Bacterial small subunit ribosomal RNA", at positions 524 to 776 of the family's 1533-position model. The record is from RNAcentral.